Molecule: small nuclear RNA, 316 nt
Filed under: Propithecus coquereli (Coquerel's sifaka)
Lineage: Eukaryota; Metazoa; Chordata; Mammalia; Primates; Indriidae
Description: 7SK RNA (ENSPCOG00000011185.1)
Rfam family: 7SK RNA
About the family: 7SK was discovered as an abundant small nuclear RNA in the mid-70s but a possible function has only recently been suggested. Two independent studies have found that 7SK RNA binds the CDK9/cyclin T complex (known as elongation factor P-TEFb).
Source: Rfam by way of RNAcentral
GGAUGUGAGGGCAAUGCGGCCACGACAUCUGCCACCCCAUUGAUCACCAGGGUUGUUUCGGCUGAUCUGGCUGGCUAGGCGGGUGUGCCCGUCCUCCCUCACCACUCCACGUGCGUCCCUCCUGAAGCUGCACGCUCGGUUGAAGAGGACAACCUUCCCCAGUGGUGGAGGACCGUUCUUCAGUCAAGGGUACACAAGUAGCUGCGCUCCCUUGCUAGAACCUCCAAACAAGCUCACAGAACAUGUAUUGUUGUUUUGUGUGCACACAUUUUUAAUUUACUGAAGUGAUAUCAUAAUUCUUGUUCUGUUCUCUACU